GAUGAACGCUGGCGGCGUGCCUAAUACAUGCAAGUCGAGCGAACAGACGAGGAGCUUGCUCCUCUGACGUUAGCGGCGGACGGGUGAGUAACACGUGGAUAACCUACCUAUAAGACUGGGAUAACUUCGGCAAACCGGAGCUAAUACCGGAUAAUAUAUUGAACCGCAUGGUUCAAUAGUGAAAGACGGUUUUGCUGUCACUUAUAGAUGGAUCCGCGCCGCAUUAGCUAGUUGGUAAGGUAACGGCUUACCAAGGCAACGAUGCGUAGCCGACCUGAGAGGGUGAUCGGCCACUGGGGAACUGAGACGCGGUCCAGCCUCGUAAGGGAGGCAGCAGUAGGAAAUCUACCGCAAGGGGCGAAAGCGUGACGGAGCAACGCCGCGUGAGUGAGGAAGGUCUACGCAUCGUAAAACUCUGUUAUUAGAGAAGAACAAAUGUGUAAGUAACGAUGCACGUCUGGCCGGAACCUAAGCAGAAAGCCCGGGCUAACUCCGG
This 496-nucleotide ribosomal RNA is filed under the name uncultured bacterium. Its description in RNAcentral is "partial 16S ribosomal RNA". It matches the Rfam family "Bacterial small subunit ribosomal RNA", at positions 28 to 506 of the family's 1533-position model. The record is from RNAcentral.